Molecule: unclassified non-coding RNA, 634 nt
Filed under: Hevea brasiliensis (rubber tree)
Lineage: Eukaryota; Viridiplantae; Streptophyta; Magnoliopsida; Malpighiales; Euphorbiaceae
Source: RNAcentral
CCUUCAUGUCCGAAGCUGGUGAAAGCCAAGUGCUUCUGCGGGAAAAUUGAAGAUGUUCGGCGCUGCGGAUUGAAAUUGUUUUCGUGUAACAAUUUCUGUGACAAGUUAUUGGAUUGCGGGAUUCAUAAGUGUAAAGAGAGGUGCCACGAUGGAGAUUGUCCUCCGUGUCAGGCUCGCGGCUUUUAUGGAUGCUACUGUGGAAGGAAGAAAGAGGAGAGGAAGUGCUGCGAGAGGGGAUUUCAAUGCGAGAAUCCGUGCGAGAGAUUGUUGGGGUGUGGGAAGCAUGUGUGUGAAAGAGGGUGUCAUUCAGGGGAGUGUGGACUGUGUCCUCUUCAGGGGAAGAGGACUUGUCCAUGUGGGAAGAACGUGUAUGAAGGAAUCGCUUGUGAUGUCGCAGUGCCGCUUUGCGGUGGUACUUGUGAUAAGAUACUGAGUUGCGGUUUACACAGGUGCCAUGAAAGAUGUCAUAGAGGAGGUUGCAUUGAAACUUGUAGACUUGUGGUGACCAAAUCGUGCCGGUGCGGGGGCUUGAAGAAAGAGGUUCCAUGCUAUCAAGAUUUGACCUGUGAGAGAAAGUGUCAGAGAAUGAGAGAUUGUGGACGCCAUGCUUGUAAACGACGCUGCUGUGACGGGG